UCCUUGGUGGCUUAGAUGGUAUAAAGAAUCUGCCUGCAAUGCAGAAGACGCAGGUUCAAUCCCUGAGUCAGGAA
RNAcentral lists this transfer RNA (74 nucleotides) under Ovis aries (sheep). It matches the Rfam family "tRNA". From Rfam's summary of the family: Transfer RNA (tRNA) molecules are approximately 80 nucleotides in length. Their secondary structure includes four short double-helical elements and three loops (D, anti-codon, and T loops). Further hydrogen bonds mediate the characteristic L-shaped molecular structure. tRNAs have two regions of fundamental functional importance: the anti-codon, which is responsible for specific mRNA codon recognition, and the 3' end, to which the tRNAs corresponding amino acid is attached (by aminoacyl-tRNA synthetases). tRNAs cope with the degeneracy of the genetic code in two manners: having more than one tRNA (with a specific anti-codon) for a particular amino acid; and 'wobble' base-pairing, i.e. permitting non-standard base-pairing at the 3rd anti-codon position. Lineage: Eukaryota; Metazoa; Chordata; Mammalia; Artiodactyla; Bovidae. The record is from Rfam by way of RNAcentral.